Molecule: ribosomal RNA, 468 nt
Filed under: uncultured bacterium
Lineage: Bacteria
Description: partial 16S ribosomal RNA
Rfam family: Bacterial small subunit ribosomal RNA
Source: RNAcentral
GACGAACGCUGGCGGCGUGCUUAACACAUGCAAGUCGAACGGAAAGGCCCUGCUUUUGUGGGGUGCUCGAGUGGCGAACGGGUGAGUAACACGCGAGUAAUCUGCCCUUGACUUUGGGAUAACUUCAGGUAACUGGGGCUAAUACCGGAUAGGAGCUCCUGCUUCUUGGUGGGGGUUGGAAAGUUUCGGCGGUUGGGGAUGGACUCGCGGCUUAUCAGCUUGUUGGUGGGGUAGUGGCUUACCAAGGCUUUGACGGGUAGCCGGCCUGAGAGGGUGACCGGCCACGUUGGGACUAGGAUACGGCACAGACUCCUACGGGAGGCAGCAGUGGAGAAUAUUGCACGAUGGACGGAAGCCUGAUACAACAACGCCGCGUGCGGGAUGACGGCCUUCGGGUUGUAAUCCGCUUUCGCCUGUGACGAAGCGUGAGUGACGGUAAUGGGUAAAGAAGCACCGGCUAACUACGUG